Molecule: ribosomal RNA, 462 nt
Filed under: Adexius scrobipennis
Lineage: Eukaryota; Metazoa; Arthropoda; Insecta; Coleoptera; Curculionidae
Description: partial 16S ribosomal RNA
Source: RNAcentral
GGCCUUUUGACUAUAAUUUAAGGUCUGACCUGCCCUAUGAAUAUAACCUAUUUAAAUGGCUGCGGUAUACUGACCGUGCAAAGGUAGCAUAAUCACUAGUUUUUUAAUUGAAAGCUUGUAUGAAAGGUUUGAUGAGAAAAUAGCUGUCUCUAUAAAAAUUUAUUAGAAUUUUAUUUUUAAGUUAAAAAGCUUAAAUAAUUAUAAAAGACGAGAAGACCCUAUAGAGUUUUAUAUUUUAUUAUUUUAUUUGUUUUAGUAUUUUAAAUUUUAUUUUAAUAAAGUAUUUAGUUGGGGUGAUUGAAAAAUUAAAUAAACUUUUUUUUUAUUAUUACAUUAAUUUAUGAUUAAUUGAUCCUUUUUUAAGAUUAAAAGAUUAAAUUACCUUAGGGAUAACAGCGUAAUUUUUUUUGAGAGUUCAAAUCGAUAAAMAAGAUUGCGACCUCGAUGUUGGAUUAAAAUUAA